GACGAACGCUGGCGGCGUGCCUAAUACAUGCAAGUUGAGCGCUGAAGGUUGGUACUUGUACCAACUGGAUGAGCAGCGAACGGGUGAGUAAUGCGUGGGGAAUCUGCCUUUGAGCGGGGGACAACAUUUGGAAACGAAUGCUAAUACCGCAUAAAAACUUUAAACACAAGUUUUAAGUUUGAAAGAUGCAUUGCAUCACUCAAAGAUGAUCCCGCGUUGUAUUAGCUAGUUGGUGAGGUAAAGGCUCACCAAGGCGAUGAUACAUAGCCGACCUGAGAGGGUGAUCGGCCACAUUGGGACUGAGACACGGCCCAAACUCCUACGGGAGGCAGCAGUAGGGAAUCUUCGGCAAUGGACGAAAGUCUGACCGAGCAACGCCGCGUGAGUGAAGAAGGUUUUCGGAUCGUAAAACUCGGUUGGUAGAGAAGAACGUUGGUGAGAGUGGAAAGCUCAUCAAGUGACGGUAACUACCCAGAAAGGGACGGCUAACUACGUG
RNAcentral lists this ribosomal RNA (496 nucleotides) under uncultured bacterium. RNAcentral's name for it is "partial 16S ribosomal RNA". It matches the Rfam family "Bacterial small subunit ribosomal RNA", at positions 28 to 507 of the family's 1533-position model. The record is from RNAcentral.